CUUGGUCAUUUAGAGGAAGUAAAAGUCGUAACAAGGUUUCCGUAGGUGAACCUGCGGAAGGAUCAUUAACGAGAACUUGCCCUCCGGGGUAGAUCUCCCACCCUCUGUUUACAUACUUUGUUGCUUUGGCAGGCCCGUCUCCGGACCGCCGGCUUCGGCUGGCCCGUGCCUGCCAGAGGAUUCAAAACUCUGAUAACUAUGUCGUCUGAGUACUAUUAUAAAUAGUUAAAACUUUCAACAACGGAUCUCUUGGUUCUGGCAUCGAUGAAGAACGCAGCGAAAUGCGAUAAGUAAUGUGAAUUGCAGAAUUCAGUGAAUCAUCGAAUCUUUGAACGCACAUUGCGCCCUCUGGUAUUCCGGGGGGCAUGCCUGUUCGAGCGUCAUUACAACCCUCAAGCUCUGCUUGGUGCUGGGCCUCGCCGGUUCCGGCGGGCCUCAAAAUCAGUGGCGGUGCCGUCUGGCUUCAAGCGUAGUAAUUCUUCUCGCUUCAGGAGACCCAGGUGUGUGCUUGCCAGCAAACCCCAACUUCUAUGGUUGACCUCGGAUCAGGUAGGGAUACCCGCUGAACUUAAGCAUAUCAAUAAGCGGAGGA
This 592-nucleotide ribosomal RNA is filed under the name uncultured fungus. RNAcentral describes it as "eukaryotic LSU rRNA". The stretch from base 230 to 383 matches the Rfam family "5.8S ribosomal RNA". Lineage: Eukaryota; Fungi. The record is from RNAcentral.